UAGGUCCAUGGCAUUCUGGCUGAAGCUCAGAACAAAAUUCAAGGGAGUCCAGCAUUGCACGUGGAGUUUCUGCUGCUGUGUUUGUUGAAAGAGAGAGAAGGCAGAGGAAUUACACUGUGUUACUCAAAGCACAGGCAGCGUACUUACAGAUGGGGUUAUGAUGAGAAGAAGCUGCAUACCGACAGGCUUCUGCUACCUGUGAUGGAGAAGAGGUUUGAUCUGGGCAGGACCUCACCGGACCCCUUCACCCUCACUUGGGAGGAAAGAUCGAACAGUGAGGAGAACAUGCUCCGAGGAGUUGGAUUACAGCUUACACGUGUAUUCGAAGCCGAAGUUACACAACUGCAUGAAGAACUGUGUGCAGAAAUGGUUUCUGAUUUCUGCUUACAACAGCCCAGGUACAAAAUCCCUGUUAUUUGAGAAUUUG
Long non-coding RNA from Numida meleagris (helmeted guineafowl), 427 nucleotides. RefSeq lists it as uncharacterized. NCBI's taxonomy places the organism in Eukaryota, Metazoa, Chordata, Aves, Galliformes, Numididae. The transcript has 3 exons. The record is from RefSeq and is a predicted model, not a curated record.